Eubalaena glacialis (North Atlantic right whale) is the source of this 105-nucleotide small nuclear RNA. Lineage: Eukaryota; Metazoa; Chordata; Mammalia; Artiodactyla; Balaenidae. The record is from RefSeq and is a predicted model, not a curated record.
GUGCUUGCUCCGGCAGCACAUAUGCUGAAAUUGGAACAAUACAGAGGAAAUUAGCAUGGCCCCUGUGCAAGAUGACACAAAAUUCAUGCAGCGUUCCAUACUUUU